GGUUUUAUGAUUUUGUUAUCAGUAUUCCACAUCAUAACGUCAUGGAAAGUACGGGGAAUUAAACAGUUAAUACUCCAGUUCUGUGGACUGACAACUUUCUAGAUACAUGGUUCUCAGAAGAGAAGAACUACACACUCCAGAGGACUUCAGGUUCAGAGAGCAAGAUACCUCAGAGGGGAAGACACAUGAUGCUCUCUCACUGCCUGGCAGUGUAUGGGUGUGCUCCUCAGCCUGCGCCUUCAGUUCAGAGUAUUCUCUGCUGGAAAAGGGAUGCAGAAAUACAAUGAACAGGAAAGCACUGGGAAAUGUCAGCUAAUAGAAAAAGAUUUGUUCUCGCUAGGCAGGUUUUGUCUCCUCUCUGUCUCAAUAUUUAAGCUGGAGAAAUGGCACUUCCCUGCCUUGAGAAAACCAAACCAAACAAAGAAACAAACAAAUAAAUAAAUAAAAACCAAAAAGCAUGAAAGACUGAUUGAUUUUCAGAGGCUGCAACAAAUGUCCUUAAGAGCAAUACAAUUCACAUAAGCUCAGUCAAACCAAGCAAGGAAUCUUCCCCUGUCCAGCAUUGCUUGGGCAAGCAGUGAAGUGGUAUUGAUUUUUGAUUUCUUGCUAUUUUUAUUACUAUUUUUCAUUUCAGUCCCUGAAGAUCCAUCCCACCUAUCUGUCCAAUAAUUCUGUGUCCCUGAGGAAUAUUCUAAACCUGUUUCUUUUUUAAUCAUGCAUCUAAACAACUCUGACAGAAGUCAAGACUGAAGUUUGACUAAGUUUUUAGGUGAGAAUUUAAAUUUGUGCUAAAGAAAAUUAUUAUUGAUUGUAACGUGUUUCUGUCCUUUUGGUUGUUUUCUUUGUUUAAUUUAUUCUUUUUUUCCCAUGUUUUUUCUUUAUUCAUGUGGCACGCCCCUACUGAAUGUAAGAAUUAACCUUCAACAUCUCUGAUGUGGUGAGCAACCAGUCUAUAAUGUUCCUCCAGACAUUCUGCUUUUUUUCAGUCCUUCCCUUUAAAUAUAGCAUGUGGUAAAGGAGCCUCACUAUGGCUUGGAAAAGGACAAGAGCAGAAGUCCAGCAGUUAAAAAUAAAUUCAAAAAAGAAAGCUGUGCCUUUGACUCCAAGUGUCCAAGGCAGAUUCUAUGAGAUAAAAAUACUUCUGAUACUAAGCCAAAUAAUACAAAAGGAUUACCUAAGAAUAUGUUACGAUUUUUAAAUUGCUCUGCAUGUGUUACUUCCUGGAGACACUGUAAGGAGAAAAGUGAGUUAGCAGAUUUUUCUAAAAUUCCAGCAGUGUCAAAUAAAAGAGGCUUUGCAUUAUCCACAAAUGCAGGCUGUGCCAGGGUUUGAACUGUUCUUUUAAAUGUUUGCAAAGUUAACAAAUGGCUUGGAAACAUGGAAAGAUGUAGUGAGCCAGUAUUUUAGCUGGGGUAAAUCACUUAUGUCUUAAAUUUCUGUGGGCGGUUUCCUAGAAAUCCAACUGCAAAUACAUAGGGGAUGUAAUCUGUUCAAAACUUUCAUUUUUUUCAAUUAAGAGUACACUAUGAAGUAUACAUGAGAACUUUUCAAUUUGUUUCUAAAACUGACCAUCUAGAGACGUGUACGAGUGAGGACUUUUUACUUUUGCAAUCAAAAAUUAUAAGUCUUCUAUCAUCACUGAUACGUUGUAUAAUGUCUUUAGGAUUGCUUUGCUUUGUAGUAUUUAUUGUGUAGAAAACUGUAAUCACUGUGUAACUUUUGAAAUGGACAUAAUGUCUGGACAUUAGUACCAUUUGGCUGAACACUAGAGCCACAUCUAGCUAAAAAGUGUCAUCACUGUAUGCUGCAGCAGGGUGAUGUUAGUCCCCAGUUUGCAACUUAGCUCCUCAGCGCUGCUUUCAUGGAAGAGCAGCAUGGCUAUCUUGCUUGGGGUUGUAAAGCUAAAGUGAUUCCCGCUGGAAAGGAUAUUACUGUUCUAUGGUCCACUGGGAGCCAUAGAUAUACCUUGGGAUAUUCUCUCUCUCU
Molecule: long non-coding RNA, 1986 nt
Filed under: Gallus gallus (chicken)
Lineage: Eukaryota; Metazoa; Chordata; Aves; Galliformes; Phasianidae
Source: RNAcentral